UGGGGAAUCUUCCGCAAUGGGCGAAAGCCUGACGGAGCAACGCCGCGUGAGUGAUGACGGCCUUCGGGUUGUAAAACUCUGUGAUCCGGGACGAAAAGGCAGAGUGUGAAGAACAAACUGCAUUGACGGUACCGGAAAAGCAAGCCACGGCUAACUACGUGCCAGCAGCCGCGGUAAUACGUAGGUGGCAAGCGUUGUCCGGAAUUAUUGGGCGUAAAGCGCGCGCAGGCGGCUUCCCAAGUCCCUCUUAAAAGUGCGGGGCUUAACCCCGUGAUGGGAAGGAAACUGGGAAGCUGGAGUAUCGGAGAGGAAAGUGGAAUUCCUAGUGUAGCGGUGAAAUGCGUAGAGAUUAGGAAGAACACCGGUGGCGAAGGCGACUUUCUGGACGAAAACUGACGCUGAGGCGCGAAAGCGUGGGGAGCAAACAGGAUUAGAUACCCUGGUAGUCCACGCCGUAAACGAUGGAUACUAGGUGUAGGAGGUAUCGACCCCUUCUGUGCCGGAGUUAACGCAAUAAGUAUCCCGCCUGGGAAGUACGAUCGCAAGAUUA
This 550-nucleotide ribosomal RNA is filed under the name uncultured bacterium. Its description in RNAcentral is "bacterial SSU rRNA". It matches the Rfam family "Bacterial small subunit ribosomal RNA", at positions 355 to 896 of the family's 1533-position model. The record is from RNAcentral.